UUUAACUGAAGAGUUUGAUCAUGGCUCAGAUUGAACGCUGGCGGCAGGCUUAACACAUGCAAGUCGAGCGGAGAGAGGUAGCUUGCUACUGAUCUUAGCGGCGGACGGGUGAGUAAUGCUUAGGAAUCUGCCUAUUAGUGGGGGACAACAUCUCGAAAGGGAUGCUAAUACCGCAUACGUCCUACGGGAGAAAGCAGGGGAUCUUCGGACCUUGCGCUAAUAGAUGAGCCUAAGUCGGAUUAGCUAGUUGGUGGGGUAAAGGCCUACCAAGGCGACGAUCUGUAGCGGGUCUGAGAGGAUGAUCCGCCACACUGGGACUGAGACACGGCCCAGACUCCUACGGGGAGGCAGCAGUGGGGAAUAUUGGACAAUGGGGGGAACCCUGAUCCAGCCAUGCCGCGUGUGUGAAGAAGGCCUUAUGGUUGUAAAGCACUUUAAGCGAGGAGGAGGCUACUUUAGUUAAUACCUAGAGAUAGUGGACGUUACUCGCAGAAUAAGCACCGGCUAACUCUGUGCCAGCAGCCGCGGUAAUACAGAGGGUGCAAGCGUUAAUCGGAUUUACUGGGCGUAAAGCGCGCGUAGGCGGCUAAUUAAGUCAAAUGUGAAAUCCCCGAGCUUAACUUGGGAAUUGCAUUCGAUACUGGUUAGCUAGAGUGUGGGAGAGGAUGGUAGAAUUCCAGGUGUAGCGGUGAAAUGCGUAGAGAUCUGGAGGAAUACCGAUGGCGAAGGCAGCCAUCUGGCCUAACACUGACGCUGAGGUGCGAAAGCAUGGGGAGCAAACAGGAUUAGAUACCCUGGUAGUCCAUGCCGUAAACGAUGUCUACUAGCCGUUGGGGCCUUUGAGGCUUUAGUGGCGCAGCUAACGCGAUAAGUAGACCGCCUGGGGAGUACGGUCGCAAGACUAAAACUCAAAUGAAUUGACGGGGGCCCGCACAAGCGGUGGAGCAUGUGGUUUAAUUCGAUGCAACGCGAAGAACCUUACCUGGCCUUGACAUAGUAAGAACUUUCCAGAGAUGGAUUGGUGCCUUCGGGAACUUACAUACAGGUGCUGCAUGGCUGUCGUCAGCUCGUGUCGUGAGAUGUUGGGUUAAGUCCCGCAACGAGCGCAACCCUUUUCCUUAUUUGCCAGCGAGUAAUGUCGGGAACUUUAAGGAUACUGCCAGUGACAAACUGGAGGAAGGCGGGGACGACGUCAAGUCAUCAUGGCCCUUACGGCCAGGGCUACACACGUGCUACAAUGGUCGGUACAAAGGGUUGCUACACAGCGAUGUGAUGCUAAUCUCAAAAAGCCGAUCGUAGUCCGGAUUGGAGUCUGCAACUCGACUCCAUGAAGUCGGAAUCGCUAGUAAUCGCGGAUCAGAAUGCCGCGGUGAAUACGUUCCCGGGCCUUGUACACACCGCCCGUCACACCAUGGGAGUUUGUUGCACCAGAAGUAGCUAGCCUAACUGCAAAGAGGGCGGUUACCACGGUGUGGCCGAUGACUGGGGUGAAGUCGUAACAAGGUAGCCGUAGGGGAACCUGCGGCUGGAUCACCUCCUUAA
RNAcentral lists this ribosomal RNA (1542 nucleotides) under Acinetobacter seifertii. RNAcentral's name for it is "bacterial SSU rRNA". It matches the Rfam family "Bacterial small subunit ribosomal RNA". Lineage: Bacteria; Pseudomonadati; Pseudomonadota; Gammaproteobacteria; Moraxellales; Moraxellaceae. The record is from RNAcentral.